UCAGGGUACUGAGAUCACAGGC
RNAcentral lists this microRNA (22 nucleotides) under Callithrix jacchus (white-tufted-ear marmoset). RNAcentral describes it as "cja-miR-9958". Lineage: Eukaryota; Metazoa; Chordata; Mammalia; Primates; Cebidae. The record is from miRBase by way of RNAcentral.